GGUUAAUUUUCGAAGAACUAACUAAAAAGUGUCAUAGACUUGUUUUCUUGCUGUUGUGCAUUUGACCGGGUGUUUUUUUUUCGAUUUUUAUUGAGUUUUUCGGUCGGUGAUUAACUUUAACAUGAAGUCAUCGGAAAGUAAACGAAUUUUCCAUUCUACUGGAGAAAUCGCGGUGACAAAAGCGGUGAACAUUACAUUAGGGGCUAUUUUGGACUACAUAGGAGAUUCCAUUAGGCCGCUUCGAGGAGGACAAUCUGUUCUUUGAAUCAGGUCAUGUUGUGUGCAUCGGUUAUACAAAUGAAAGUGAUUCCAUGAUUGAUAUUUGUGGAUUUGUGCUCCAAAGUUCCCACCCAGGAGACGUUCCUCAUGAAGUUAAACUGCAUAUUGGCUACGAUUUUCGUCUUCAUCUCGCUAACACUGGCUUUGUAGAAUAUUUAACAUGUACCAGCUCUCGCCAAGCAUGGGGAAUUAGUAAAAGCGAGAAAACUGAUUUAUGGGAAGCCAAAGUUGUCAAGAAUCUUUGCUGUGCCAGGAAGCAUUCACAACUUGCGGUGAUUGAUCUUGGCAACAUGAGGGAAUUGCUUAAACAAGGCUUUGAUCGUAUUAUGGAUGCUUCACCCGAUUCCGCUGUCAAGAAACACAUCACCGGAAGAGAGCAAACAUGUCAUAGAUUUCCAGUAGGACCACUGCAAACAAAUAAUUUGGACAAGUUUCUGACAAACUAUGAGCUUCGUGAUUUAAUUCAAAUUUGG
Molecule: long non-coding RNA, 752 nt
Organism: Wyeomyia smithii (pitcher-plant mosquito)
Lineage: Eukaryota; Metazoa; Arthropoda; Insecta; Diptera; Culicidae
Exons: 4
Source: RefSeq, a predicted model, not a curated record